GUAGGUGGCAAGCGUUGUCCGGAAUUAUUGGGGCGUAAAGCGCGCGCAGGCGGUUCGUUUAAGUCUGGUGUGAAAGCCCACGGGCUCAACCGUGGAGGGUCAUUGGAAACUGGAGAACUUGAGUACAGAAGAGGAAAGCGGAAUUCCACGUGUAGCGGUGAAAUGCGUAGAGAUGUGGAGGAACACCAGUGGCGAAGGCGGCUUUCUGGUCUGUAACUGACGCUGAGGCGCGAAAGCGUGGGGAGCAAACAGGAUUAGAUACCCUGGUAGUCCACGCCGUAAACGAUGAGUGCUAAGUGUUAGGGGGUUUCCGCCCCUUAGUGCUGCAGCUAACGCAUUAAGCACUCCGCCUGGGGAGUACGGCCGCAAGGCUG
This 374-nucleotide ribosomal RNA is filed under the name uncultured organism. RNAcentral describes it as "partial 16S ribosomal RNA". It matches the Rfam family "Bacterial small subunit ribosomal RNA", at positions 527 to 896 of the family's 1533-position model. The record is from RNAcentral.